UUCACCUUCCGGACGAACAACCCCAUCGAGGGAGUCUAAAUCGCCGCCGUUAGUGCGUAACCCGCCGACCCCGAACCCCGGAAAAUCAGGGCAGAACGACCAACGACCGCCGAAUCAGCGCUCAAGUGGCACGAGUCAGGUGAAAGGGUGGUGUAAGAGACCACCGGGGUCGCGGUGACGCGGCUUGCAGGGUAAACCUCGCCCGGAGCAAGGCCAGACAGGGGAUGCCGACGCGGCCCGCCGAGUCCCCGGGUAGGCCGCUGGAGCGUCACGGCAACGUGACGCCGAGAGAGAUGACCGUCGAUGGGGCGAAAGCCCCGGGACAGAACCCGGCGUACAGGCCGGCCCAUUCG
This is an RNase P RNA of 353 nucleotides. It matches the Rfam family "Bacterial RNase P class A", at positions 133 to 367 of the family's 367-position model. From Rfam's summary of the family: Ribonuclease P (RNase P) is a ubiquitous endoribonuclease, found in archaea, bacteria and eukarya as well as chloroplasts and mitochondria. Its best characterised activity is the generation of mature 5'-ends of tRNAs by cleaving the 5'-leader elements of precursor-tRNAs.